AUUUGUCUACUUUUGAAUAAAGACGCUAGUGGUCUCGUUUCUUUUCUUUAAUAAAGCCAAGAUUCAAGCAAGCUGGUGCGCACUUGGUUUCAUAUAAGUUGACACAGGUGGUCACACCAAAUGCAAUCAAUGCUCUCAUACCAUUGACUAGGUUUUCUUUCGUUGACUUGAGAGUUAAGUUGAUGUCUUACUCUUCAUCGUCCUCGAAAUUAAAACCCCAAUGGAGAUACGAUGUGUUCAUCAAUUUCAGGGGGGAAGAUACUCGUAAGAAUUUUGUUUCUCAUCUCUAUUCUGCCCUUGCAAACGCAGGAGUAAACACUUUCCUGGACGAUGAGAAGCUUCCCAAGGGACAAGAGCUGAAAUCAGAACUGUUCGACGCAAUAGAAGGGUCUCAAAUAUCAAUCGUUGUUUUCUCCCAAAAGUAUAUUCAAUCUAGCUGGUGUCUUGAUGAACUGCACAAGAUCAUGGAAUGUCAUGCAUUCAGAGGCCAAGUGGUUUUGCCCGUAUUUUACGAUGUUGUCCCUUCAUUUUUACGUAAAGUGCAAGACGUUUCUUUUGGAGUCUUUUGUGCAAAUAGUGACCUCCACCGGAUAGAACCAUGGAAGAAAGCACUAGCCCGAGCGGCAACUUUGGUUGGUUGGGAUGUGAGAAAUUACGGAAAUGAAAACGAUGUCGUGAAGGAAAUUAUUUCUGCAGUUUUGAAAAGAAUAGACAGAACAUAUUUGUCUAUCACUGACUUCCCAGUCGGAUUAGAAUCUCGUGUGCAACGUAUUGUUGGCUUUGUAAGAAACCAAACAAAAGGAACAUGUAUGUUAGGGAUUUGGGGAAUGGGAGGGAUUGGUAAAACAACCAUAGCCAAAGCCAUUUACAAUGAAAUUCGUCAGGAGUUCGAAUAUCAAAGUUUCCUUGCAAAUAUUAGAGAAGUUUGGGGAAGAGAUCGGGGCCAGAUUGAAUUACAAAAGCAACUUCUUUCAGAUGUCCUUAAAACAGAGAAGCUGAAGGUGCAUAGCAUUGACUGGGGAAAAGGUAUGAUCAAGGAAAGGCUUUGCACAAAAAGAGUACUUGUUGUACUUGAUGACGUGAAUAAGUUUGAACAGUUAAAUGCACUAUGUGGAAAUCGUGAUUGGAUUGGUCGAGGAAGUGUGAUAAUCAUUACAACCAGAGACAAACGUCUACUCCUUGAAGUUGACCAUGUACAACAAGUGGAUGAAAUGAAUGAGAGUGAGUCCCUUGAGCUUUUCAGUUGGCAUGCUUUUAGGGAAGCAAAACCAACAAAAGGCUUCCUAGAACUCUCAAAACAAGUAGUCAAAUACUGUGGAGGAUUACCACUGGCUCUUGAAGUUCUUGGAUCUUACUUGUACAAGAGAAGAAAAGAAGAGUGGCAAAGUGUAUUAUCAAAACUAAAAGAAAUACCCAAUGGCGAAAUACAAGAGAAAUUGAAAAUAAGCUAUGACGGUUUAACGGAUGAUACGGAGAAGGAUAUAUUUCUUGACAUAUGCUGCUUCUUUAUUGGCAAGGACAGAGCCUAUGUCACAGAGAUACUAAAUGGCUGUGGACUUCAUGCUGAUAUUGGAAUAACAGUCCUGGUAGAAAGGAGCCUAAUCACGGUUGAAAAGAAUAAUAAACUCGAAAUUCAUGAUUUGCUACGUGACAUGGGGAGAGAAAUUGUUCGUCAAAGUUCACCAAAACCACAGAAGCGCAGUCGAUUGUGGGUUCAUGAUGAUGUUCUUGAGACAUUGACAGAAGAUACUGGAACAGAAGCCAUUGAGGGAUUGGCUUUGAAGUUGCAAAGAACUACCAGAGUUCGCUUCAGUACUGAAACAUUUGAGAAAAUGAAGAGACUGAGACUUUUGCAACUUGAUCAUGUACAACUUGCUGGAGAUUAUCGGCAUCUUCCCAAACAUCUGAGAUGGGUCUAUUGGCAAGGAUUUUCAUUAACAUACAUACCUGACAACUUUGAUCAGGGAGAUGUAGUUGCUAUUGACUUAAAACACAGUUAUCUUAAACUAGUAUGGAAGGAGCCCCAGUUGCUGGAAAGGCUAAAAUUCCUCAAUCUUAGUCAUUCCAAGUACUUAUCAAAGACCCCUGAUUUUUCAAAAUUACCAAAUCUUGAGAGCCUCAUUCUCAAAGAUUGUCCAAGCUUGUAUGAGGUACACAAUUCCAUUGGAGAUCUAGGUAAUCUUCUUCUGUUAAAUUUGAAGGAUUGUACUUGCCUUCGGAAUCUCCCAAUGAUAUUUUAUAAGUUGAAGUCUUUAAAAACACUCAUCCUUUCUGGGUGUUUGAAGAUUGACAAGUUAGAAGAAGACAUAGUGCAGAUGGAGUCCUUAACAACUCUAAUCGCAGACAAUACUGGUCUAAAACAAGUGCCCUUUUCUAUAGUAAGAUCCAAAAGGAUUGGAUAUAUAUCCCUUUGUGGAUAUGAAGGAUUGGCACGUGAUGUAUUUCCUUCUCUCGUAUGGUCUUGGAUGUCACCAACAAGAGGUCUUGUAUCCUGUAUUCAAUCAUUUGGGAGCACGUUGACAUCUGUAGUCUCUGUGGAUAUACAGGAUAAAAAUUUGGGUAACCUAUUAUCAAAGCUUAGUGAAUUUUCAAAACUUAAAAGUAUUAGCGUACAAUGUGACUCAGAUUUUCAACUAACUCAAGAAUUAAGAAUAAUUUUGGACAACUUGUGCAAUGUAAAUUUUUCUGACAAUGAAACAACGCCCGCAUCACAAGUUUCAGAAAAUUCUACUGUAUCUCAUUUGAUUGGAAUUGGAAGUUACCACCAACACAUCAAUAUGCUUAGCAAGACUAUAUCAGAGAUUUGAGAGUCAUAAUCCUAGUGAAGAUGGUUGUAGACACUUUGCUUUUCGGGUUUUUCUUUCCUUGUGAUUCUUGAUCUAGGCCAUUGUGGGAUUGUCCGGUAGCAAAAGGAUUUCAUAAUCUUCUUCUACAGCUUCCCAAAGAUUCAUCACUUCUAGGUAAGUUUCCAUUUUUACAGCCCAAAGAUUAUAGUUUUCCCCAUUAAAAACUGGAAGUGCUACAUGAGAAAAGCUUGUUUCAGAAUCCAUUCUAGGUCCCGUAAGGAAAUGGACUCUAGAUACCAGAUGUUAUAAAUUUUCAAGAGAAUAGAAAUAUAGAAUCUGCUGAACGAAGAGCAAAAACUUAUAUUCAAUGAGAAAGAUAGAGCUUACAAUCUUCAAACCAGAAAGAUUACAAUUUAUAAAGCUUAAACAGUAACUACCCACUAACAAUAUGGUCCUAGAAAUAAGCCACGAACAGAACAGAGAUAAUAAAAAAUUCCUAAAACAUUCUAAUUGACUCCGUAAAACUAGGAUAGCAACUACAAAUAAAAUAACAUAAUCAGAAUGUGGUUUCAGUCCUGAUUCCUGAAGCAUUUUCCUAACAAUAUUCAAUACUUAAGUGUUAUCUUGAACAAAUCUUGGUUAGAGAUUAUCAAACUUUUAUAUAAGUGGGGAUCAUAAAGAGCACAUGAAAAGUGAAAAGUGUAAAAUGUGUAUAAUAGUGCGUGAACCAACUUUGGAAAAUGGUUUUCAUCUCAAUACAAGUUGAAGGACAUCCAUGACAUGUCAGUUCACAUUUUGUUAAGAGUUUAACAACAACUACAGAGGUACUGGAAACCCGUAGUUCCAGUGAUUUUCUCCUUCCAGGAGACAAUUAUCCUUAUUGGUUAGCCUAUACAGGGAAAGGAUACUCGGUACCUUUUCAAGUGCCUGAUGAUGG
Molecule: non-coding RNA, 3723 nt
Organism: Cajanus cajan (pigeon pea)
Lineage: Eukaryota; Viridiplantae; Streptophyta; Magnoliopsida; Fabales; Fabaceae
Source: RefSeq, a predicted model, not a curated record